GUGGGUUUCCUUGGAUGUUUGUAGAUUGUUUUGGCUGGAAGGGAAUCUUAUCAUCACCGAUUCUGACCCUUUGCAUAACCCUUUCAUGUAGGGAUUGUGGCAUCGCGCCCAUGACUUGGGCUGAGCCUGAAAAAAAACCUCCAGAAGGGCUUUCAAUCCAGCUGUGAUGCUGAGGGUUCCAGCAAAUAGCAAGGAACGCUUUGCCUCCCCAGGAAGUAGUGAAUGAGGACGGGGAAAGGUUUGCUGGCACACAGAGGAAAAUCACACCGUUUCAGGCAAGGCAGAACAAACAAUGGUUCUCACCGAUGCUGUGUGCUGUUUGGAAGUGAACGUGAUCACGGAGGUAUUCAUUUCCUACCUGUGAGUUUUGGCUGGGGUGCUUCCUGCAGGCAGGCAGGACACGCGCUGCCUUGGCUCAGGCACUGCUCUGAGGUUGUGCUCUGCUUGCUGCAAGCGUGGAGAUUGUGCGAGUUGGAUGCUUUCCUGCUGGGUUCGGGUAUCAGAGCCUCCCUAAUGGGAUACCUGAAGGUGUAGACAGAGGGAGGGGCAGGAACAACCUCCCAGAUAAACUCCAUUGUGUGGGAGGGUGGAGGCUCCGAAUGGCCUCAGGAAGGAGUCAGGUGAUGGCAUGUUAUCUUGGAGCGGCUUUCUCCCCGUCUCAUGAAAAUGAGAAGAGACCCUUUUAACUUUCCUAGUGAGGGAAGGGCUGUGCUGGAGCCUUACUACACACUGGAGAAACCACACAGGGCUGAGCUGUUUUGAACGCCCCG
RNAcentral lists this long non-coding RNA (770 nucleotides) under Gallus gallus (chicken). RNAcentral describes it as "lncRNA (ENSGALG00010026637.1)". The record is from RNAcentral. Lineage: Eukaryota; Metazoa; Chordata; Aves; Galliformes; Phasianidae.